This 254-nucleotide ribosomal RNA is filed under the name uncultured bacterium. RNAcentral describes it as "partial 16S ribosomal RNA". It matches the Rfam family "Bacterial small subunit ribosomal RNA", at positions 524 to 776 of the family's 1533-position model. The record is from RNAcentral.
UACGGAGGGGGCAAGCGUUGUUCGGAUUUACUGGGCGUAAAGGGUGUGCAGGCGGCCGUGCAAGUCUGGCGUGAAAUCUUCGCCGCUUAACGGGAAGAGGUCGCUGGAAACUGCAUGGCUCGAGUAUGGUAGAGGCGGGCGGAAUUCCUGGUGUAGCGGUGGAAUGUUCAGAUAUCAGGAAGAACACCUGUGGCGAAGGCGGCCCGCUGGGCCAUCACUGACGCUGAGACACGAAAGCGUGGGUAGCAAACGGG